UGGGGAAUAUUGCACAAUGGGCGCAAGCCUGAUGCAGCGACGCCGCGUGGGGGAUGACGGCCUUCGGGUUGUAAACUCCUUUCGCUAGGGAAGAAGCCACUUGUGGUGACGGUACCUGGAUAAGAAGCACCGGCUAACUACGUGCCAGCAGCCGUGGUAAUACGUAGGGUGCGAGCGUUGUCUGGAAUUACUGGGCGUAAAGAGCUCGUAGGUGGUUUGUCGCGUCGUCUGUGAAAUCCCGGGGCUUAACUUCGGGCGUGCAGGCGAUACGGGCAUAACUAGAGUGCUGUAGGGGAGACUGGAAUUCCUGGUGUAGCGGUGAAAUGCGCAGAUAUCAGGAGGAACACCGAUGGCGAAGGCAGGUCUCUGGGCAGUUACUGACGCUGAGGAGCGAAAGCAUGGGUAGCGAACAGG
This 414-nucleotide ribosomal RNA is filed under the name uncultured bacterium. RNAcentral describes it as "bacterial SSU rRNA". It matches the Rfam family "Bacterial small subunit ribosomal RNA", at positions 355 to 776 of the family's 1533-position model. The record is from RNAcentral.